GGUGGCUCAGUGGUAGAGUGCUUGCCUUGUGUGCAUGAGUCCCUGGGUUCAAUUCCUCAGCACCA
Dipodomys ordii (Ord's kangaroo rat) is the source of this 65-nucleotide non-coding RNA. The record is from Rfam. NCBI's taxonomy places the organism in Eukaryota, Metazoa, Chordata, Mammalia, Rodentia, Heteromyidae.